UUCCGGAUUAGCUCAGCGGUAGAGCAAUGGACUGUUAAUCCAUUGGUCGUUGGUUCGAAUCCAACAUCCGGAGA
Molecule: transfer RNA, 74 nt
Filed under: Chlamydiota bacterium
Lineage: Bacteria; Pseudomonadati; Chlamydiota
Description: Chlamydiae bacterium tRNA-Asn
Rfam family: tRNA
About the family: Transfer RNA (tRNA) molecules are approximately 80 nucleotides in length. Their secondary structure includes four short double-helical elements and three loops (D, anti-codon, and T loops). Further hydrogen bonds mediate the characteristic L-shaped molecular structure. tRNAs have two regions of fundamental functional importance: the anti-codon, which is responsible for specific mRNA codon recognition, and the 3' end, to which the tRNAs corresponding amino acid is attached (by aminoacyl-tRNA synthetases). tRNAs cope with the degeneracy of the genetic code in two manners: having more than one tRNA (with a specific anti-codon) for a particular amino acid; and 'wobble' base-pairing, i.e. permitting non-standard base-pairing at the 3rd anti-codon position.
Source: RNAcentral